CUGUUUUACUUGCCUGACUGUCUAGGAACCCUGACCUGAGGUGAUCCAACACAGGUGGAAGAAUGUUUGCCAAAUUUCUGAAGCUACUAUCGUGGGUGGGACUGUGGAGGGCGCCCAUGGUGGUACUGAAUGAUAACGCCCCCGCCAUCAACCUCACCACCACACCCACACAGAUGGUCGACAUGACUGCUAGGUUUAUGGACGUAUUAGUCGACAACUUCGUGAGUGAGGACAGGCAGAAGGUGUCGUACCUGGCUCUAGAACAAAGUACCUUCUACAAGCGCAACUUCGACGAGUUCGGCUCCCUACUGAAGAAAGUCGACCCCCUUCAGAUGAACGAUAC
Molecule: long non-coding RNA, 343 nt
Organism: Homarus americanus (American lobster)
Lineage: Eukaryota; Metazoa; Arthropoda; Malacostraca; Decapoda; Nephropidae
Exons: 3
Source: RefSeq, a predicted model, not a curated record